GGGAUUUGGAUCCUGCCAGCUCGUCCCUGCAACCCCCUACUCCGGUCCCCUCAAACCUGUCCGUGGCUGGCAGCCCUGUGAUACCUCGCCACAUUCUGCAACAGAAUCCGAGAUAGAGGUAGAAGUGGGGGAGUACGUCGUGGCUGUCAGGGCAGCUUUCUGUAAAAUGCUGCCUGGAGGAGCAUGUGAUUCCAGACCCUCCUCUCUGCAACGAAAGUGAGGUUGACACCUGCAGGUAUGAUUGUAACACGACUUUUAGUUCAGGUGAGCGCAGCCUUCCUCUCCUGGAGCUCUGGCUCAUCCAGCCCUGAGCUCCCCAGUCCAAGGCUCUCCGGGUACCUUGGGCAGCCUCCCUAGCAGGGCGGUGGGAUCGGACCAGCUGUUCCCGGCUGCUGGUCCGUUCCAAGCUGCAAGGGCCUAGGUGCGGAGCAAUGACCGGCAGGCCGAGCUCCCUCCCUCCCUCUCGUUGCAGGCCUGGGGCCUCCUGGCCCACUGAGCAGAACACACAGAAGCUGGGCCCACCCCUGCCCUCCCCACAAAGGGUCACGGGAGCCACCGCCUGACUUUGAAGCCCACUGACUUGCGGCUGACAAGAGAAAAGGCACUGAGGGCUCGCCACAACCCCCUGUGUAUUUAUCUUACAGAAUGUGCCCCUGUGAUCAUGUGAAAGCAUCAGCCAGGGGUCCAAGAACUUCCCUCUGGAGCCUCACACUCCCAGCGUGGCACCCAGCAGGGAACAGAUUCUCUCCAAACCUUUGUGAAUGAAUGAAGGAUGACGUCACUAGAAUCCAUCCCUGUUUUAUUUUUUAUUUUUAUUUUUUGAGACAGAGUCUCGCUCUGUUGUUGCCCAGGCUGGAGUGCGGUGGCACAAUCUCAGCUCACUACAACCUCCGCCUCCCCGGUUCAAGUGAUUCUCCUGCCUCAACCUCCUGAGUAGCUGGGAUUACAGGCACCCAUCACCACGCCUGGCUAAUUUUUGUGUGUGUUUAGUACAGACGGGGUUUCACCACGUUGGCCAGACUGGUCUUGAACUCCUGACCUCAGGUGAUCCGCCUGCCUCGGCCUCCCAAAGUGUUGGGAUUACAGGCGUGAGCCACCACGCCCAUGCCCAUCCCCAUUUUAUAGACAAGGAUACCAAGGCUCAGAGAGGGGAAGCCACUUGCCAAGGACGCACAGGAGGACACCAGUGAGCAGGACCUCUGGUCUGUCUGGGAGGCCACUGGGCCUCUUCCCAGAGUCUCUGCUUGGUGAGCCAGGAUUUUACACCCGCCUUGGGCCCAGUGGGCUGAGAGGACAUGGGCUGGGGUGUCGGAAGCUGCAGAGCUGAUCCCUCCUGCUUGGCUGGAGGCUUGCAGACCCGGCAGGCAGGCUCGGGAGGCAGCGGGCGACUUGAAAAUGCACUCCCUACCACAGGCUCAAGAGUGACGGCGCCUGUCAGGGACCGGGAGGCAGGGCCUGUCUUUUCCUGCUGUUUUAUUGCCUUCAAAGUCUGGACCAAGUGGUUUCUGGAUGGAGUCACGGUAACCUCACGUCUAUUCAAGCAAUUCGUUCAUUGUUUCAUUUAGUAAAAUACCCACAAAACAAGGAAGAACACCUUGGCGGUGCCUCUGAUCCCCCCAUUUGUCUGCAAAUCGGAAAAGCAUGAUUCCAUCGAUCUCCUGUUUAUUGAGCGCCUACUACAUGCUAGGUCGGAUGGUCUAGUUCAACCCCUCGCAACGCCACAGCUGCUGUCUGUUUCGUAUCUUGUAUUUUUCGCUUGACAGUUUAUCAUGUGCAUUUUCUCGGGUACCAAAGGCCCUUGUAAGAGAUGGUGUCUGGAGAAUGGGUAUCUCAGGGGCCUACCACCUGGCUUACCUCCUCCCAAAUCAGGGUUCCUCUGCACCACCUCCUCUCUGUCCAGCUCCUCCUUCAGGGCCUGGCUCAAUUCUACCUCCUCCACAAAGCCCUCCAUUCCCUCCCCUCCUGGUCAGUGUUGUCUCUUUUGCAGCCACUAGCUCUCUGCCUUGCCUCACCCGGGUCUCCUAUCCCUCUCCUUCUCUCUCAUGGAGUGAUGCCUUUUUUCUUCCUCUACACACAUCAGGUCUGAGCUCAAAGUCACCUUGUCAAAGGCCCUCCCAGGACCACCCUGUGUGAUUAUCCUGUGGGCUUGUUCCUGUGUUUGUCCCUGAGCCCACAGGGUCUGGUGGUUCAGUAGAAGGACUCCUGCAGAAGGUGCUGGAUAAACACUGGAAGAUCUAGAAAUAAAAAUAAAAGAAAGACUGGGC
This 2264-nucleotide long non-coding RNA is filed under the name Homo sapiens (human). Its description in RNAcentral is "LHRI_LNC1568.5". The record is from RNAcentral. Lineage: Eukaryota; Metazoa; Chordata; Mammalia; Primates; Hominidae.